This 497-nucleotide ribosomal RNA is filed under the name uncultured bacterium. RNAcentral's name for it is "partial 16S ribosomal RNA". It matches the Rfam family "Bacterial small subunit ribosomal RNA", at positions 28 to 507 of the family's 1533-position model. The record is from RNAcentral.
GACGAACGCUGGCGGCGUGCCUAAUACAUGCAAGUAGAACGCUGAAGAGAGGAGCUUGCUCUUCUUGGAUGAGUUGCGAACGGGUGAGUAACGCGUAGGUAACCUGCCUUGUAGCGGGGGAUAACUAUUGGAAACGAUAGCUAAUACCGCAUAACAAUGGAUGACACAUGUCAUUUAUUUGAAAGGGGCAAUUGCUCCACUACAAGAUGGACCUGCGUUGUAUUAGCUAGUAGGUGAGGUAAUGGCUCACCUAGGCGACGAUACAUAGCCGACCUGAGAGGGUGAUCGGCCACACUGGGACUGAGACACGGCCCAGACUCCUACGGGAGGCAGCAGUAGGGAAUCUUCGGCAAUGGGGGCAACCCUGACCGAGCAACGCCGCGUGAGUGAAGAAGGUUGUCGGAUCGUAAAGCUCUGUUGUAAGUCAAGAACGGGGGUGAGAGUGGAAAGUUCACACUGUGACGGUAGCUUACCAGAAAGGGACGGCUAACUACGUG